Molecule: long non-coding RNA, 644 nt
Filed under: Phoenix dactylifera (date palm)
Lineage: Eukaryota; Viridiplantae; Streptophyta; Magnoliopsida; Arecales; Arecaceae
Description: long non-coding RNA (PDAC_LNC017043)
Source: RNAcentral
GGAUUCUGUAUGGCCUCGCAAUGGAAAUCUUUCAUCUUGCUUGUCAUAGUGAAUGAAAUAUUACAGGAUUCUUGGUUCCUUGAAAAGGCUAUGGACCAAGUGGCUUGAGCAUUGAUGAGUGUCCCAGUCUGUCCAAGCCACUACUAUUGUCACAAUCUCUCGAUGAACUCGGACAAGUUGUCCCAGAAUAAUUGAAGUAUUCUAAUUAUCUGUAAGUUCUUUGGUGAACUCAUCUGAUCUCCAUGAGUUGGUUAAUUAUUGUAGCAAAGUGUCAUCUGCUCUUUCUGGACCAAAACAAACUUGCUUUUGCUCGUACCCAUUCUAUACUUGCCUCGAUGCGAGGUAGUAGAGUUAGAUGGAGCGAGUUGGACAGAUUGGAUUACAUUAUAUUAUUAAAAUUAUUUUUUGCAUAUAAAUAUUUUUUUUCUCUUUCGAAGAAGAAGAAAUUUGUGAAGAGUUAUAUUUUUACAAAUGGGAUCCACUGCGGAUUAGGUAAAACCCGUACCAUCUCGGAUCCACUGCAGGUUAGUUUAAACCCAUCCUAUUAGGUUUGAGUUGGACAAGGUAUCCUAUGAGGCGGAGUAAACUGCUACAUCUAUUUCUAGGAAUGGGUUAGAGUUGGAUGAAAGCUCAAUGUUGAAGGC